GCCCUGCCCUGCCCUGCCCGGCCCGGCCCUGCCCGCAGCGCCUCAGGGGGAACGCACCAACUGUGCAGCUCCAGGGCCGGCCCAAGCCCCUCCGCGAGCGCGGAAGCAACGCCACCCUACCAUAGGCGACCCCCGCCCCGGGAUGCUUCCCCCGAGGCGACUGCUCGCCUGCAGCUGCAGGAAACAUAAGAAGGAAGCUGUGAGGGGCUGGAAGGAAGAUGCUGCCUUGCAAGAACCCAUCUGAACAGUGUCAUGUGCUGCACAAAGAGGUCCUGCUGCAGAUUUCUGCUCUCACCAACACCAGCAGUCAAGGGCUCCUGCAGUCUCACAGGAUGUUCCCUGAGCUUUGCCAAAUGACUGAACAUCCCACAGUGACCUGGACAUGGAAAAUUUCGUCCUCUUGUAGAAAAAUCCUAUUGAUGUUCUUCAGAUUUAGUACAGUACCAAGAUCCCCUGUCUGUUGGCCUAACAAGCAGAUUUAAUUCAGCUCUCCAAGCAGGGAGCCCUGCAGAAAAAAAAAUGUCCUUCAG
RNAcentral lists this long non-coding RNA (530 nucleotides) under Cyanistes caeruleus (blue tit). Its description in RNAcentral is "lncRNA (ENSCCEG00000014328.1)". The record is from RNAcentral. Lineage: Eukaryota; Metazoa; Chordata; Aves; Passeriformes; Paridae.